RNAcentral lists this ribosomal RNA (497 nucleotides) under uncultured bacterium. RNAcentral describes it as "partial 16S ribosomal RNA". It matches the Rfam family "Bacterial small subunit ribosomal RNA", at positions 28 to 507 of the family's 1533-position model. The record is from RNAcentral.
GAUGAACGCUGGCGGCGUGCCUAAUACAUGCAAGUCGAGCGAACAGACGAGGAGCUUGCUCCUCUGACGUUAGCGGCGGACGGGUGAGUAACACGUGGAUAACCUACCUAUAAGACUGGGAUAACUUCGGGAAACCGGAGCUAAUACCGGAUAAUAUAUUGAACCGCAUGGUUCAAUAGUGAAAGACGGUUUUGCUGUCACUUAUAGAUGGAUCCGCGCCGCAUUAGCUAGUUGGUAAGGUAACGGCUUACCAAGGCAACGAUGCGUAGCCGACCUGAGAGGGUGAUCGGCCACACUGGAACUGAGACACGGUCCAGACUCCUACGGGAGGCAGCAGUAGGGAAUCUUCCGCAAUGGGCGAAAGCCUGACGGAGCAACGCCGCGUGAGUGAUGAAGGUCUUCGGAUCAUAAAACUCUGUUAUUAGGGAAGAACAAAUGUGUAAGUAGCUAUGCACGUCUUGACGGUACCUAAUCAGAAAGCCACGGCUAACUACGUG